UUGGAGGGCAAGUCUGGUGCCAGCAGCCGCGGUAAUUCCAGCUCCAAUAGCGUAUAUUAAAGUUGUUGCAGUUAAAAAGCUCGUAGUUGAAUUUCGGGAUCAAAUUGUUGGUCGUGCCUCGGUACGCACUGGUAUUAUUGGUUCCUACCUUCUGAAGAACCGCGAUGUCAUUAAUUUGGUGUCGUGGGGAAUCAGGGCUGUUACUUUGAAAAAAUUAGAGUGUUUAAAGCAGGCUUACGCUUGAAUACAUUAGCAUGGAAUAAUGAAAUAGGACGUUUGAUUCUAUUUUGUUGGUUUCUAGGAUUGACGUAAUGAUUAAUAGGGAUAGUUGGGGGCAUUAGUAUUCAAUUGUCAGAGGUGAAAUUCUUGGAUUUAUUGAAGACUAACUACUGCGAAAGCAUUUGCCAAGGAUGUUUUCAUUAAUCAAGAACGAAAGUUAGGGGAUCGAAGACGAUCAGAUACCGUCGUAGUCUUAACCAUAAACUAUGCCGACUAGGGAUCGGAUGAUGUUAAUUUUUUAAUGACUCAUUCGGCGCCUUACGGGAAAC
RNAcentral lists this ribosomal RNA (548 nucleotides) under uncultured Glomeromycotina. RNAcentral's name for it is "SSU rRNA". It matches the Rfam family "Eukaryotic small subunit ribosomal RNA", at positions 548 to 1098 of the family's 1831-position model. Lineage: Eukaryota; Fungi; Glomeromycota. The record is from RNAcentral.